Molecule: long non-coding RNA, 697 nt
Organism: Uranotaenia lowii
Lineage: Eukaryota; Metazoa; Arthropoda; Insecta; Diptera; Culicidae
Exons: 4
Source: RefSeq, a predicted model, not a curated record
UUAAAUUUCAAGCAUAUUCGAAGUUUGGGUGGAAAACCGAAAAAAUGGUUAAAAUUUCAAUAUACAAGCGAACAUUUUCGUUCCGCCAUUGUUUUUUUAGUGACUCAAAUGAUCGGGCUCCGUUUUUCUUCCUAUAAUUUCGCAACAAAGUUCCAAAGUUUCAUUUUAUACAAUCGUUGUUUGAACGCGGAACCAUCGAGAGAUAUGCGGAGAAUAUCUAUCAUCAACAGCAGCGGAAAAAUGUACCGAAAAGACCACCCGAUAAGAACAAAAAAGAUCCGGAUUUGGAACUCAAGUUUGAAGAGAUAUUCAAAGCGUAAAAGGGAUAUGAAUCAGCUCCACCAAAAAUCGAUUUGAACACAGUGAUGUUAGGUCCACAGAAAAUUGGAAAUCGAUUUUGUGCUUCUUCCGAAACCCAAAAACACUACCGGAAUUGCCCAGUUCUUAUCGGAGGAUCCACUAAAAACAGUACAACUUCCCGAUCGGAUGUUGGUGUACGAAUGUUGGAGAGUCUGAAACACAGCUGGGGCCCAGAAUAACUUUGUUACCCGUUUCGAUAUAAUCCAAGCUAUGGGUAAAAGCAUCAGGUUAUAUUGGGUCUGGAUACUCACAAGAACAAAUUGGAAUCAGCUUCAAGAACCGAUGGACGUUCCUGUUGAAAGGCAAGUGGCUGUUUGCCACUCGUUUGGUCCCCCAG